AAAAUACAGGUAGGUAUUUAAAGUUCACACAGAUAUGCACAUACAUGAUAUAAUCAUAUAUGUGAAUAUUUACAUGUUUUUCCUUUCAAUUAACUGGUAAGUGUAAAGUACAGGUAGUUAUUUUAAGUUCACACAGAUAUGCACAUA
This is a long non-coding RNA of Haliotis rubra (blacklip abalone), 147 nucleotides long. RefSeq lists it as uncharacterized. The transcript has 2 exons. The record is from RefSeq and is a predicted model, not a curated record. NCBI's taxonomy places the organism in Eukaryota, Metazoa, Mollusca, Gastropoda, Lepetellida, Haliotidae.